This 502-nucleotide ribosomal RNA is filed under the name uncultured bacterium. RNAcentral's name for it is "SSU rRNA". It matches the Rfam family "Bacterial small subunit ribosomal RNA", at positions 26 to 513 of the family's 1533-position model. The record is from RNAcentral.
AGGACGAACGCUGGCGGCAUGCCUAAUACAUGCAAGUCGAGCGGAAUGAUGAGAGCUUGCUCUCUGAUUUUAGCGGCGGACGGGUGAGUAACACGUGGGCAACCUGCCCUACAGAUGGGGAUAACUCCGGGAAACCGGGGCUAAUACCGAAUAAUCAGUUUGUCCGCAUGGACAAACUCUGAAAGACGGUUUCGGCUGUCACUGUAGGAUGGGCCCGCGGCGCAUUAGCUAGUUGGUGGGGUAAUGGCCUACCAAGGCGACGAUGCGUAGCCGACCUGAGAGGGUGAUCGGCCACGCUGGGACUGAGACACGGCCCAGACUCCUACGGGAGGCAGCAGUAGGGAAUCUUCCACAAUGGACGAAAGUCUGAUGGAGCAAUGCCGCGUGAGCGAAGAAGGUUUUCGGAUCGUAAAGCUCUGUUGUAAGGGAGAACACGUACGGGAGUAACUGCCCGUACCUUGACGGUACCUUAUUAGAAGCCACGGCUAACUACGUGCCAGCA